UACAGAGGGUGCGAGCGUUAAUCGGAAUUACUGGGCGUAAAGGGCGCGUAGGCGGUUAAAUAAGUUAUGUGUGAAAGCUCUGGGCUUAACCUGGGAACUGCACAUAAUACUGUUAAGCUAGAGUAGAGUAGAGGAAAGUGGAAUUUCCGGUGUAGCGGUGAAAUGCGUAGAUAUCGGAAGGAACACCAGUGGCGAAGGCGGCUUUCUGGACUCAUACUGACGCUGAGGCGCGAAAGCGUGGGGAGCAAACAGG
This 253-nucleotide ribosomal RNA is filed under the name uncultured bacterium. RNAcentral's name for it is "partial 16S ribosomal RNA". It matches the Rfam family "Bacterial small subunit ribosomal RNA", at positions 524 to 776 of the family's 1533-position model. The record is from RNAcentral.